AGGAUCAUUACCGUUG
This 16-nucleotide ribosomal RNA is filed under the name Parazoanthus swiftii. RNAcentral describes it as "partial 18S ribosomal RNA". RNAcentral also lists the same sequence under 1 other name. The record is from RNAcentral. Lineage: Eukaryota; Metazoa; Cnidaria; Anthozoa; Zoantharia; Parazoanthidae.